GAGUUUGAUCGUGGCUCAGGACGAACGCUGGCGGCGUGCUUCAUACAUGCAAGUCGAACGAGGUCCAUCGAGUGGCAACACUCGUGAAGACCUAGUGGCGAACGGGUGAGUAACACGUGAGGAACCUGCCCCGAUCUCUGGGAGUAACAGUGGGAAACCGCUGCUAAUACCAGAUGGGCUCGGACGACGACAUCGUCAACCGAGGAAAGCUUUUGCGGACCGGGAGGGCCUCGCGGCCUAUCAGCUUGUUGGUGGGGUAACGGCCUACCAAGGCAUCGACGGGUAGCUGGUCUGAGAGGACGACCAGCCACACUGGGACUGAGACACGGCCCAGACUCCUACGGGAGCAGCAGUAGGGAAUCUUGCGCAAUGGGCGAAAGCCUGACGCAGCAACGCCGCGUGGGGGAUGAAGGCCCUCGGGUUGUAAACCCCUUUCAGCAGGAACGAAUCUGACGGUACCUGCAGAAGAAGGUCCGGCCAACUACGUGCCAGCCGCCGCAGU
RNAcentral lists this ribosomal RNA (502 nucleotides) under uncultured Actinomycetes bacterium. RNAcentral describes it as "bacterial SSU rRNA". It matches the Rfam family "Bacterial small subunit ribosomal RNA", at positions 9 to 521 of the family's 1533-position model. The record is from RNAcentral. Lineage: Bacteria; Bacillati; Actinomycetota; Actinomycetes.